GCUCUUAUAGCUUAAAAACCAUAAAGCAUUGUUCUUGUAAACCAAAGCCGGGUCCCCCUUAGAGCAAUA
Molecule: transfer RNA, 69 nt
Filed under: Trimeresurus stejnegeri stejnegeri
Lineage: Eukaryota; Metazoa; Chordata; Lepidosauria; Squamata; Viperidae
Description: tRNA-Thr
Source: RNAcentral